Molecule: non-coding RNA, 72 nt
Organism: Podarcis lilfordi (Lilford's wall lizard)
Lineage: Eukaryota; Metazoa; Chordata; Lepidosauria; Squamata; Lacertidae
Source: the annotation of a GenBank genome assembly
GGUUUAGAGUUCAGUUGGUAGAGCAUGAGACUCUUAAGCUCAGGGCCGUCGGUUUGAUUCCCAUAGUGGGCA